AAACAACAAAAUCGCCAAUGGAAUUGCACUAUUCCUUAGAACAGUGAAUUGUUUUAAUAUAUAUAUAUAUAUAUCACAUAGCUGACUUUGGUCACCAUAAUAAUAGCCUAUACUAGCUUAUCUAACAAACAUAACAAGCAACUAUCAUCAAUUAACAACUUCAAACUCGGCAUGUAAAUCUUGACAUUCCCAACAUAACUUGGCUCUUUGAUUUGGACUAGAGAAGCUUGAUUCAUAAGUUAAGGACCUUCUACUAUGAUAUGCUGCAGCUCCAGCUAUCGCUUCUCCACACAGAAGAUGAAAAUAUUCAUUCAUGAAACCACUACAGAACAGUAACUCAUCUCACCAAACAGUUUAUUGGCCCAUGAGCUCCUAACUGCUGCAGCUCCUAACUACUAUGAUAUGCUGCAGCUCCUAACUGCUGCAAGCAUGCAUCUACCUACUCAUCGUGCAAGCAAACUCUAUCUUCUUCCAGUCGUUCAUGAAAACUGUCCUCUUUGUCCUCGGAAGCAAGUUUCAUCUCUUCAAAGAGAUUGCAUGAUGUGGUCCAAAGUUUCUCCGCAAGCCUGAUAUCAUGUGAAAGUGCAGAAGAGUUCAGAGUCCUGCCCUUUCCACCAAAAAAGUAUACCCCAGAUGUUUCUGGUGGUGCAAGGGCAGCAUCAAGAAUAGAGCUAACCCCAUUAUUAGGUGACUGCAAAAGGCCGAGAAGUUUCAAUAGUACAAAUGUCACAUGUGAAAGACAAGAAGGAAUUUCUCUCAUGAUAUUGGUUUGCACUGCCCCAGGAUCUGCAGCACUGAAAUAUGCAACAAAACCGAAAGCAAAUUGAACAUGUGAGACUGAAACAAACACCAAUAUAACAUCCUUCCUGGGAUGAAAUGUUAUAGUUAGUAACAAUAUCACUGAAAUGAAGAAGUUUCCAAAAUGUUAAGAGUAGAUAUUUCCUUGAGAGAAAAUUAUUUAACCAUGCAUAAGAGCAUCUGCAAGUAGUUAGUAUGGAUUAUACAUACAAAUAUAUAAAUCAACUGGUGCAAAAAUCCCAAAAGAUAUUAAGGAUAAAAUCAGUGAUUUCAUUCAAAAAAUAGGUGACAACCGAAUCAAUGAAUAACUUUUACUUAAGUUUGUGAACACUGACUCAUAAAUUAACCAAGAAAAACAUUAAGGUCAUAAAAUACGUACUUGACAGAGACUCGACAAGAUUUAUCCAUCAAGUGCAGUUGCCGAUGAAGCUGGUAUGAGAACAGCAGUAUGCAUACUACCAACACCAGAGUGUGUGAUUAUUAGAAAUGGUAUAAUAUCUUAGCAAAUUAUGUGACAGCUAUGGCUUACAUUUGGAAUGCUCAUAGAUAUGAGCAUAUGGAUAUAGUUUCGAUUUAGAGAAGCACUUCCCAGCAACAGUUUCCUUGUCAACCUGCAUGGAAAAUACACUUCGAUGUGUAAAGGAUGUAACAUUCACUAUCCGUGAACCAACAGGGCUGUUUCUCAGAAGUGGCAAUAGAAAUUUGGUCAGAGAGAAUGCACCGAUGUAAUUUGCAGCCAUCAUCUGAUCAUAGCCUUCAACAGUGGGACGAUGUGAUGUUGCCAAUAUCCCAGUAUUGUUUAUCAGGAGUUGGAUGGAAGAAUGCAUAAAGGAAUCCAAGAGCCACUUCUCCAGUGAGCUUUUGAACUUUAAGAUUGACUGGAAAGAUGAUAUGUCAACCUCAAAAACUUUGAGCUGGGCAUCCUCAUUCUGUUUUUUUAUCCUCUCCACAGUCUCACGUAACAAUUUAGAUGACCGUCCAACAAGAACAAUAAAAAAACCUUCUUUUGAAAGAGCAUAUGCAGCAGCCGCACCUAGACCAGAUGUAGCACCAGUAAUGAUGCAAAGGGGUCUGCUGGGCCCAUUUCUUGGAGGAAGGCAAUGGGGAUAGGCAUCAGAACUCUGCCUAAAUGCCCUUUGGAAAAACAAUUGCAAAUAUGAGGCAAGGAGAGAGAUUGUCCAAAACACGGCCAUCCUCCAAAAUUCCACCGAGUACAUGAAAUGCAGAGGCUGCGCCAGUUCCCUCAUCACUAUCUUCAUUCUCAUCGUCCUAAGCAUAAAUGAUGACUUUGCUAUAAGGUAUGUAUCUUGGACUUUGGGCUGACUAACCUGAAUAAGAUUUCUCAGCAAAAUAAUUCUCAUCGCCUCCGAAAUACCCACUCCUAUUCUUCCACUGAUUUCCCUGCAAUAGACCCACCAACCCAAUUGCCAUUUUCUACCAAAUCUUGACUGCACAUUCAUCCGCACACGCCAAGCAGACAGAGUUACCAAAGGCACAAAAACCCAAGCGAUCAUAGGUGAGGUGAUCUCAAAUCGAAUAGCAGGUGCCAGAAGCGGUGGAAGAGCCCACAAUCCUACAAGAGGAAUAACUAACCAAGGUAGCAUAGUGGAAACCCGGCGAGACCACUUCUGCAUCACAAAGAGUAUACACAUUGCCAAUUCUUUGUAAUUGUCUAUAAAGACUAAACCACUUGCAAAAUCAAUGUAGACUUAUCAUUCAAUCAAAUGUAUGAGAGCGAAGAUAAAGAAGAAUACACAGAUGAUUGCACUGAUUCAUGGCAGAGAUGAGCAAGAAGCAGAGAGGAUUGGAGAAUACUGAGCGUUAGGAAGAUUAGGACACAAGGAGCUUUGGGGUAGGUGGGGAUACCGAUAGAGUGAAAGGGUUGGAAGUAUUGAAGGGUAUUUAAUCGUGAAUGGUUUUUUUUAGUCUUUUCAGGUAAAACUAAUGGCUAAAAUCUUUUUUUUUUUUUUCUCAUAAUCACAGUAAGUGCUCGUUAAACAUUCACUACACGCAAAAUCCAUCCAAUCUUGAGCUAGAAAUUCAUAACUUCCACGGCCACAACGUAGUUAUGGAAGUCUCAGCCAUAGAA
Molecule: unclassified non-coding RNA, 2887 nt
Filed under: Hevea brasiliensis (rubber tree)
Lineage: Eukaryota; Viridiplantae; Streptophyta; Magnoliopsida; Malpighiales; Euphorbiaceae
Source: RNAcentral